Molecule: ribosomal RNA, 478 nt
Filed under: uncultured eukaryote
Lineage: Eukaryota
Description: SSU rRNA
Rfam family: Eukaryotic small subunit ribosomal RNA
Source: RNAcentral
ACCUGGUUGAUCCUGCCAGUAGUCAUAUGCUUGUCUCAAAGAUUAAGCCAUGCAUGUCUAAGUACAAGCCUCACUAAGGUGAAACCGCGAAUGGCUCAUUAAAUCACACCUAAUCUACUGGAUAGAAAAAAGUUACUUGGAUAACUGCGGUAAUUCUGGAGCUAAUACAUGCACAAAGCCUCAACCUUACGGGAGAGGCGCUUUUAUUAGAUCAAAACCAAACGGCUUCGGCUGUACUCUUGGUGACUCUGAAUAACUUUGGGCUGAUCGCAUAGCCUUGAGUUGGCGACAUAUCCUUCGAAGGUGUGCCCUAUCAACUGUCGACUGUGGCAUAGACGCCCACAGUGGUUUUGACGGGUAACGGGGAAUCAGGGUUCGAUUCCGGAGAGGGAGCCUUAAAACGGCUACCACAUCUAAGGAANGCAGCAGGCACGCAAAUUACCCAAUGAACCGAAAGGUCGAGGUAGUGACCAAAAAU